Molecule: non-coding RNA, 3674 nt
Organism: Salmo salar (Atlantic salmon)
Lineage: Eukaryota; Metazoa; Chordata; Actinopteri; Salmoniformes; Salmonidae
Source: RefSeq, a predicted model, not a curated record
ACAAAUGUACUUCUAACAAGGCACACCUGUUAAUUAAAAUGCAUUCUAGGUGACUACCUCAUGAAGCUGGUUGAGAGAAUGCCAAGAGUGUGCAAAGCUGUCAAGGCAAAGGGUGGCUGCUUUGAAGAAUCUCAAAUAUAAAAUAUAUUUUGAUUUGUUUUAACACUUUUUUGUUGUUUUGGUUACGACAUGAUUCCAUGUGUUAUUUCAUAGUUUUGAUGUCUUCACUAUUAUUCUACAAUGUAAAAAAUAAACCCUUGAAUGAGUAGGUAUCAACUUUUGACUUGUACUGUAAGUACAAAGGGACUUUCUUACUUUUACUUGUCAUGCUCUCUGUCUGGUUUCUGGAAAAGUGACCAAAAAGGCAACAUAAUGUAAUUUGACAUCACGUCGUUGGGGUGAUGUUGCAGGCGGUAACAUUCCUACACAAUCAUUUUAAAGAAACUUUGAAAAGAGGAUGACAACUACAGCAUUGUAGCAGACAGGAUCAUAGAUAUAAAGUGCAAAGCUAGACAAAGGGAGGUGGAUGGGUGGGAGUGCACUGUUAUGAUGAUGACGACGAUAUGAUUCGUAAUGGUUUCAGGUUACAUAUCUGCCCCCACCCCUUGGUUUCCAUUGGAUGGGGACGUUAGUGGACUAAUUUCCAUAAUUUUGCUAAUAAAUAGUUGCUGUGGUAAAACCACAGCAUCCUUCACAAUGAUGACUUGUGUUUCUUGUCAAUUUUGGGUGACUGGAAAAAAAGAAAAGAAAAACAACAGCCACCUUUUGGCUUGCAACAUUGACAUACAAUGAGUAUACCAAACAUUAGGAACACGUUCCUAUUGAGGACCCGCCUUUUUCCCUAAGAACAGCCUCAAUUCGUCGGGGCAUGGACUCUAAAAGGUGUCGAAAGCGUCCCACAGGGAUGCUGGCUUAUGUUGACUACAAUGUUUCCCACAGUUGUCAAGUUAGCUGGUUGUCCUUUGGGUGGUGGACCAUUCUUGAUAUACACGGGGGGAAACCAGCAACGUUGCAGUUCUUGACAGACUCAAACAAGCGCGCCUGGCACCUACCACCAUACCCCAGUCAAAGGAAACAAAAUCUUUUGUCUUGCCUAUUCACCUGUAAUGGCACACAUACACAAUCCAUUUCUCAAUUGUCUCAACUUAAAAAUUCUUAUUUAGCUUGUCUCCUCCCCUACAUCUACGCUGAUUUGAAGUGGAUUUAACAAGUGACAUCAAUAAAGGACCAUAGCUUUCACCUGAUCAGUAUGUCAUGGAAAGAGCAGGUGUUCUUAAUGAUUUGAAGUGGGAAAUGCACUCCACAAAUUUGCAUUGAACAAUACAUGUGGUAAUUUAUAACAUUAGUUAGUUCACAGCACCUUCUAUAGGUGAUCAAUGCAUACUGCAUACUAUACUGCUGGUCUGUUGUAGUAGUACAUACUGUAGGUAGUAGCACAUUAACAUCAGGGAUUUUUCUUCUACAAAAAACAAGCACACAAGGAAUCCUCAAGAAGACUAAACUGAUGGGCAUCACGGAUACAUUCAGAGGAGGUUAUCCAAUCAGUUCUUCUACAUCUACAAGACAAACCCAAAGCUAAAUCUGUAGAUAUGCCAAACAGCCAUUAUGACUUGUUACUCACUUUGUUCUCUCUAGCAUACACUUUAACCCACAUGCAUGUCUGUGGCAAUGGUUGGUUGGAUUUUGGUCCCUAGACCACUCAAGUCUCAACAACACCUUUCCCUUGUGUAAGUUCAACUUCUCAGGGACCACAUUAUGAUAAAGAAUUCUGCAUGCACACAUAUCAGUAGAUUGCUAUGACACUGAUGUGGUUCCUGAGAGUUUAAAACUAUUUUCCAGGCAUUGUGGGCUAUCAUCUAAAACAAGACCAAAUCAAUAAAAACUCCCAAGAUGCCAUGCUUACUCUACUUCCUGGUAAACACGUGCUUACAACUCAAUGUGUUGCAUGGCAAUACAUUUUUCUGUUUUCUAAUGUUAACUAAGUUCAGUUUGCUUUAUUGUUUGCUAAAGUAAGAACACUUAACUACUGUAUUCACCAUAUUUCAGAUAACUUUCAUUGGGUCUGCCUGUGUUGGUGUGCCAAGUGAUGAGACUGGAGAAGUGAACAGACCGCUAGCUGCAAAAAAAUCUGUGUGUAGAUUCCAUUUUACAUAUGAGUGAUCCCAGGAAGUGAACCCACUACCCAGGCAUUACAAGUGCCAUGCUCUUAUCAACUGAGAUACAAAGGACCAGUAGAUUUUUCUGCCUGAUGGUUGGUGGACGUCACUCCUGCCUCAGCAGUAGGAGUGGGUAAGCCAGGCCCUGUUUCAGACGGACAGUUCUGGGAAUGUUGAGUACAUUCCACCAGAGCUACAUUUUUUUCCAACCAUGACCUGGAAAACGCUGCACACUCCUGCUCAUGUUCCCAGGUGAUUUUAUUUAUAACAACGUUUCAACCCUUAGGUCUUCAUCAGGCAUCCACAUCCCAAGUGGGGGUGGAAAGUCCUAUAUAUAGAGGCAGUACUCAGUACUUUCAAUUCCUGAAACAGGAGGUAAAAAAUAUAUAACAGGUUCACAAUAUUAAACAUUCAAUGUAUCAAAAUAUAUACACAAGGAAGGUGAUCAAUAUGUGCCGUUAUAUAUACAGUACCAGUCAAAAGUUUGGACACUCCUCAUUCCAGGGUUUUUCUUUAUUUUUACCUUUUUCUACAUUGUAGAAUAAUAGUGAAGACAUGAAAACUAUGAAAUAACACAUGGAAUCAUGUAGUAACCAAAAAAGUGUUAAACAAAUUCUUCAAAGAGAUUCUUCAGAGUAGCCACCCUUUGCCUUGAUAACAGAUUUCCUUUGAAGAAGUUUCCUCUCAAUGUCCCCUCCCCUGCGUGACAUCUUGAUCAUUUCUAUUCCAAUGUAUCUCAGAGAACUAAUAGGAUGUCCAGCUGUACAAAAUGAACAGCAACCAGAUGUUUUGUUGAUCUUGUAUAAGCUGGAUAUCCUAUUAGUUCUCUGUGUUCAUUUGGAAUAGAAAUGGUCAAGACGUCACAGAGGGGAGGGGAUGUGCGUAUGUUCUUCUUUUGUACGCCAACCAUGACCUGUGAUCGGGGUCACCUGAUGUAUUAUAAUAAUUGAUUAUGCUUAUGUUGUAUUAAUAGAAGGGGAAGGGCUUAAAGACCCUCCCCACUACAUUUAUAUGAUCCUGGACUACAGAUUAACUAUAUAAUAUGCAUUAUAAGGUUUAAUACUGUUCCACAGUUAUUUUCUAGUCUCUGCCUCUUAUAAGGAACGGUCUGAGAGAUGUGUGAGCUAUUGCAGUCAAAACAGGGUGUCUGUGAGAAAGUGCCUCAAGGCUAAAAGAGAUACAUAAACACAGACCCCUGCAGGAGAGUAAAUAGAUAAGAGACAAGUCAGACACCAUUGUAAACCACACAGGAAUGGACAAUUACUGCUGAGCCCUUAGAAAACACUGGACUAUUGUUUUCUCCUGCAAGUUUGUAUAACUGUAUAUGCAUGGGCUUGGUCUCAUGAGUAGAAGGUGUUGACGUAGGCAGUUACAUCACUAGGGGUUGACUGCAAACAUAUUAAGGCAACUUUGACCUUUUUUAUUUUUCAGAACUUAUUCUGAAACAUGUGUGCUAUGUUUCCGUUGUCAACUUCUGUCUGCAAUUGCAUUAAUAAAGGUUUGAUUGAUUUACUUAAA